This is a long non-coding RNA of Homo sapiens (human), 6106 nucleotides long. RefSeq annotates it as SYN3 antisense RNA 1. The record is from RefSeq and is a predicted model, not a curated record. The transcript has 4 exons. Lineage: Eukaryota; Metazoa; Chordata; Mammalia; Primates; Hominidae.
UGGUCUUUUAAACUCGCAAAUGUAUUCCCUGCUCCUUGCACACUAGCAGGUGUUUAGGAACAAUUUACUGAAUGAAUAAAGGGAUGCUGACCCUGGUACCUAGGCCCUCUUUUGACCUAAGCGGGUGGUUUUCAAACUGAAUUCUAUGGAGGGAAUGGCGCCAUGCCGGGAGCCCGGCUGGGUGGGUCUCUAGAUCUCUUUUCUUUUUUCAUUCAGAACAGCUCCACUAGGAUCUGUUUAAUAUACUAAGUGUUUUCAUUGUUCAUUGGACAAAGGGCUCAAAGUCAAAAGAGCAAAGCCAGGUCACUGUUGAGGAAGCAUUGGGUGGAAGGUUGGACGCCACAUCUUUGGAAGUCCUCUUUAACCCCAAUACUUGUGAUUCCAUGAAUGGGACACAAGUCGAGUCAGCUUUGAUAUUGAGAUGCGGUGGCAAGAAGAGAAGGACCAUGACAGACGUGUUCUGGCGAGGGAGUGGGUGGGGGUUCCCCAAGCAUGGGGGUGGGGGUCUUCCAGAGGGCGGCAGCCUGGUUCUAAGUUCUUCCUGCAGCUGCCUCAGCUACCUGCCCCUGAGUCAUGACCUGCGAUGCACUGGCUGAUGCUUUUAGCUGAGGCCACAUUUGAGGAUCCAGCAUUUUCCGACCACAACUUUAAACAUAAUGUUUGCUCCUCCACUCACCAAGAGAGCAACGGUCUUGCUCUCUGCGGUCUCAUUAAAUAGGAUUCUAUUUUCACAGCACUCACUUUUAGGACAUUCUUAUUUGCUGUUCCAGGCUCUCGGAGAGGCAGCCCAAGAGGCGCUGCUGCUAAAAUGACUCUGGGCACGGUAGAGAUGGGGAGAUACGGAAAUGAAUAGCAGCUUUGUUUAUUUGGCAUGGGACCAGGCAAGAGGAGCUAUAUUAAAAAAUAAAUAAAGUUCCCCUUCUUUCCUCAAGACAAAAAACAAAACAAAACAAACAAAAAAAAACAAACCUAUUCCGGCUGCGUGGCCAACAACACAAUUUCCCUCACAGAACAGAACAGAUGUGAGUACAUUGAGAUUAACUUUGUAGGAAGAAAUUUAAAAAAAUAAAAUAAUGAUGAGCGGUCGUGGGAUAGGGCUGGUGAGGGGGUAAUAUCAAGAGUAUUUGAGAUGCCCUCAUUAGGAAGCCGGAAAUAAAAUGAAGCAAUGGCCUGAGUAUGGUUCUAUCGACAUAUAGACACUCUGAGGCACCCACAUAUCCACAGGGCUCCCAAGUAUUCCUGAUUCCCUCUCUCGCAGACCUGGCUUGAGGUCUUCCCACAGUGGGGAAGAGAUAAUAACUAUUAAUAGUAUGGCCAUUCUCUGAGCAUUCACCAUGUGCCAAGCUCUGUGCCGAGUAUCCCGUGCACACCAUAAUGGAUGUAAUUCACCAUUCUUCCCACUGGCUUCGCUUGUCUGAGCUUCAGUUUUCCCUUCUGUAAAUGGGUUUAAUCAGAUUACCUACCCCAGAGAGCUGCUGUGACAACUGAGUAGGAAAACGCACAUGAACUACGAAGCACAGGGCCUGGCACCUAGUAUGCGGUCAAUAAAUACACGGUUUAUGAUGGUGACUAUUUUCCGUAAGGUAUUUCAAAUUCAAAAUGUUAAAACCUGAACCCAUUCUCUUUCCCCUUCAAGCCAUUUUUUCUUGAUUGUACACUUCAGUAAUGGAAUCGUGAUAAUCUUGAGUUCUUUUCCCGCCUGGCACAGUCAGUUCCCAAAUUCAUUCAAGUCUGCCGUUUUUCAUAUCACUCGACUGCAUCCUUAUCUCAUUCCUCACGGCCUUGCUUCCUGCCUGGGUACAAACCCUUAUCAUCUCUUCUCUGAACUGCCGCAGUUUCUUCCUAAUGGGGCCCUAAUCCCCCGCUUCCAACCCCCACCCCUCUCUUCUCUUCACACCACUGCCAGGACGCCUUUUUUCCCUUAUGAAUCUGACCAUGCCUAUUCUUUGCUUGAAACCCACCAGUGGGUCUCUCUCACCAAGAAGAUAAAGCCUGUAUUCUAGAGUGUAGCAUGAAACACUCUCAUGAUCUGGCCCCAGUCUCACUUUCUCUUCCUGGCCUCACUCCAGCCCAGGGCUUGUCCACACUGGCUUCACAUUAGCAUCACCAGGGGAUAAUACAAUGCCAGCAUCUGGGCCUUACUCCAGUCAAUCACAUUAGAGUCCCUGGGAUUAGGCCCUGGGCAGAAGUGGAAUUUACAAGCUUCCCGGGUGCUUCGAAUGCACUGCCAGGGUUAAGCAUCGCUGCUUCCCCCCAUUCUGAGCAGCUUGCUUGGGCCUUUAUGCUUUUGUGUGUAGGUCCUGCUGUGUUGGACAGUUUGCUCUGCUUUUUCUACCUGCGAUGUCUCCUUAUCUUUGGAGACACAGCUGAAGUUUCCCACCUUUAUGGAAGUCUUCCCUGGGACCCCCUCGAAGGGGCUCCUGUUGCCCAUGACAUUUCCUGCUAUGACAAUGUAAUCAUUUGCUUGCAUGGCUAGAUUCCUGCUAGAAAGGGACCCCCUUGGGAGGCCCAAUGUCCAUUCAUCUUUGGAUCCUCACACUGUUGUGGUUGUCUAAGUACAGCGUCUACACACACUUACAUGUUUUUUUGAUAAAUGAAAAUAUCAUUGGAGAUUUGUCCUCCAUCAUGACUCUAACUGGAUUCUCAGCUCUUGGCUUAUAUUUCUGCUUUAGAGUUUAUUCAUUCUGCCUUGAUCACAGUACAUUGUCUACAUGAUCUUCCUCCACCACCUGUCCUCACUCUGGGAGCUUAUUUCCUACCACUUUUUACCUCAAGCACUCACUCCUGCUCCAUUGGCCUCCUCCCUGUUCCUUGACCUCCCUGUUCCUGCCCCAGGGCCUUCGUCUGUGCUGUUCCUUCUGCUGUCAUGCCCUUCCUCCACAUGUCCACAUGACUCACUCUCUCCUUCCUUUACAUGGCACCUCACAGAAAGGCUUCUCUGAUCACAUUCGUCACACUCUGCCUCUUACUUGGUGUCUUUCUUUUUCAGAGCCCUUCUCAUCUCCUGAUAUAUGGAAGAUUUAUUUGUUUAUUCUUUUCUUCAUCUGCUUCCCUCCAUAGCAUGUAAGCUGCAUGGGGCAGGGACUUGAUUGUGUUUGAUAUUGCAUCUCCAGUGCCUAGAAUAGUGCCUGGCAUGUACAAAGUGCCUGGAUGCUAUAAAUACUUCUUCAAUACACGAAUGAAUGAAGAUGAUUUGCUUUCUAGUAAGCCAGUAUUUUCUUUCUUUCCUUUUCUUUUCUUUCUUUCUCUUUCUUUCUUUCUCUCUCUUUCUUUUUCUUUCUUUCUUUUCUUUCUUUCUUGCUUUCUCUCUCUCUCCCUCUCUCUUUCUGACAGGGUCUUACUCUGGGGCCUAGGCUGGAGUGCAGUGGCAUGAUCAUGGCUCCCUGCAGCCUCAAUCUCCCAUAUUCAGGUGAUCCUCCCACCUCAGCCUCCCAGGUAUCCAGGACAACAGGUGUGCACCACCACACCUGGCAUUUUUUUAUUUUUAUUUUUAGUAAAGAUGGGUUUUGCCAUGUAGCCCAGGUUGGUCUUGAACUCCUGGACUCAAGCUAUCCACCUGCCUCUGCCUCCCAAAGUGUUGGGAUUACAGGCAUGAGCCACUGACCCUAGUCAAGCCAAUAUUUUUCAAACUGUGAGUUUGAAAUUGGUCAUCAAAUCAACUUAAUGGAUCACAACCAACAUUUUAAAAAAUAAAAUACACUAGAACUGAAGAUAUCACAAUUCCUUGAACAUAGUAAGGGCAAGUAUUAUUCUGUAAAACUUAUCUUGGUCAAUAUACAGUAUCUAGCAAUCAGGUGGCAAGACAAAAUGUAUUCCUCAUUGGGGUUUAUUGUACACAUUUUUGGAAAAGCAUUGUGUUAGGCCAGAGAUUGGCAAACGUUUCCUGUAAAGAGUCCAGUGGUAAAUAUUUUAGGCUUUGUAGGACAUAAAAACUAUUGAACUCUGAUUUUGUAGUGUGAAAGUAGCCACAGACAUUAUGUGCACAAAUAAGCAGGGCCAUGUUAUAAUAAAACUUUAUUAACAAAAUCAGGUUGUGGGGCUAGAUUUGGCCUGUGGGUGGUAGUUUGCCAAGCCCUGCGCUAGACUGUUGUCUAGCCUGUGACUAUGUUUCAUAUGUGUAAAUUCCCUUUAUACAGGAGCUAUGUCUUUUUCAUCUCUGAAUCUUAACCAUGAGUGUGUCAUCCCAGCAUCUAACCCAUUGAUUAAAUAUAACAAAUGUUCAUGAAAUGUUUGCCAAUAUAUUCAAUGAACAUUUAUUGACUCCUUAACUCCAAACAGCUUGGCACCAAAUCCAUCAGUAUUUGUUGAAUGAAUGUAAGAGCCAUGUCUUAGUCUGUCUGGGCUGCCAUAACAAAAUAUCUUAGACUGGAUAAUUCAGAAAUUUAUUGCUGACAGCUCUGCAGGCUGGGAAGUCCAAGAUCUAGGUGUCAGCAGAUCAGUGUCUGAUGAGGGCUUUAUAGAUGGUGACUUUUGCUGCAUUCUCACACAGCGGAAGGGGCAAGGGAGCUCCCUCACACCUCCUACGUAAGGGCACUGAUCCUAUUCACGUGGGCAGAGUCCUCAUGACUUAAUCACUUCCCAGAGGAACCACCUCUUAAUACUAUCACAUUGGGUAUUAGGUUCCAACAUAUGAACCUAAUAAUAUGUUUAGGAAGACACCAACAUUCAGACCAUGGCAAGCCAUUAGUCUCAAAUUCUCAAAAGCCUUUGCCCCUCCUCCAACCCUUCUGAAGAUCAGGACUCAGAGCUCAAAGGUGUCCUUGCCCCAGCCGCUUGGGUCACUUGCUGCCAGGGGCCAGAAGGGGUGGUGGGAAGGUGAUGGGAACAACAGGGUUUGAUGGACUGUUUGGGGAACUGUCUAAUUAUCCUGCUUAUCAGUGCUGGUUCCUUUUCUUAGCUCUUUCCCUUAAUAAAUGAAAACUCCUUCUGUUGUUAUUGAGCUCCCGGGUCACUGAUUCUUUUGAGUCAUAUAAACCACAUGUUUAUAGAGUUACAGUGUGACCGUGAAAUUGAAUGGAGGGGAAGGGAGGCACCAGAGAAGUGUCAGCCUUGAAAGGCAACACUUUCUCUUCCCAGGCUUCUGCUCAUUGUGUAGGGCAAAGGACAGGGCUUUCCGCUGUCCAGGGCCCUGGCCUAGGCGGGGAGGGGAGCUGAGGUCACUGGGUACAGCUUGUGCGUCCACAGAGCUUACAGCCUGGUUGGGGAGGGAGAUGGCCAGGCUCAGAGUUGAAGAUGACCUAGAUCAUGCGUCAACAAACUAUGGCCUGAGGGCCAAAGCCAGCGCACCACCCGUUUUUGUACAGCCCAUGGGUUAAGAAGAGUUUUCAAAAUUUUAAACAGCAGUCUCCCCUUAUCCAUGGUUUCACCUUCUGUGGUUUCAGUUACUUGCAGUCAACCAUGGCCCAAAAAUAGCUACGAUCAGUGACCAUGGACUCAUAAGGCUUUUGUUUAAGAAUUGCCUAAGAUGUUCUUCAGAUCCUGAAUUCCAGCAGGAAAGCUAAUGCCAACCAGUUUGAAAACAACCACAGAGGAAUCGAAUCAGCACGAGAAUGCAGUUUCUUCAUUUCCCUGUCCCAUGACUUUACUCUGCACUCUUUGACCAAUCAAUAAUCCUGGACCUUGGCCCACUUCAAACCCCUUGAAAUCUCUAGCUCCAACUCCCUGGAGGGGUGGAUUUGAGGUUUCCUCCUGUUUCCUUGUUUGGCUGCCGUAUGAUUAUUAAACUCUUUCUUUGCUGCAAUCCCUGUUGCCUUGGUUUAUUGACUUACUGUGCAUCGGGCAAACAAACCUAUUAUGAUGACAUCAUGACGCAAUAUCCACCUCAAAGGACUGCUGGGAGCCUCAAAAAUUUACAAAUUUGUGAAUUGUAUGUGACUGUCUGAUGCCGGGGAGCAGCAAGGAGCUUUUGGUGAUUGGAGUGCGGUUUAAGUGACUGGCACUGGUGGUUACUGCUGGCCCCAGGGAGUGUGAGGCUAGCAGGAUGACCCAGAUUUCCCAAACCAGGCCAGGGCUCUUUCCAGUGAACCAAGGAUGAUGUGAAGAUGCAGGAGGUGGCAGAGGAAGAUCUCAGAAUAUCACUUAGGAAGACUAGACAGCACUUCAGCAC